RNAcentral lists this unclassified non-coding RNA (240 nucleotides) under soil metagenome. RNAcentral describes it as "partial contains 5.8S ribosomal RNA, internal transcribed spacer 2, and large subunit ribosomal RNA". The record is from RNAcentral.
AACGCACGAGACCUGCGGACCUGCGGAGGGAUCAUUAAUUAGAAACUGCCCCUCGCGGGUAGAUCUCCCACCCUUUGUAAACUUACCUUUGUUGCUUUGGCAGGCCCGUCUCCGGACCGCCGGCUUCGGCUGGCCAGUGCCUGCCAGAGGAUUCUAAAACUCUGUCUGUCAGUGUUGUCUGAGUCUAUAUACAAUCGUUAAAACUUUUAACAACGGAUCUCUAGAUCGGAAGAGCACACG